CAUGUCUUUUUGUCUAUGAUUUAAAGUCUAGCCUGCCCAAUGAUUAUUUUAAAUGGCUGCAGUAUCCUGACUGUACAAAGGUAGCAUAAUCAUUAGUUUCUUAAUUAGAAGCUGGAAUGAAGGGUUUGAUGAGAAAUUUACUGUCUCAGUUUAAUUGAAUUAGAAUUUUAUUUUUAAGUGAAAAAGCUUAAAUUUUUUAGAAAGACGAGAAGACCCUAUAGAGUUUUAUGAAUUUUUAAUUUUUUAUUUUUUGUUUUUAAUGUUUUUAAUUAUUUGAUUUAUUUUGUUGGGGUGAUGUGAAAAUUUUUUAAACUUUUCUUGAUUUUUAUACUAAUUAGUGAUUUAAUGAUCCUGUUUGGAUUAUAAGAACAAAUUACCUUAGGGAUAACAGCGUAAUUUUUUUUAAAAGUUCUUAUUGAUAAAAAAGUUUGCGACCUCGAUGUUGGAUUAAAAUUUAUUUUUGGUGUAGAAGCUAAGAAAUUUAGGUCUGUUCGAC
This 496-nucleotide ribosomal RNA is filed under the name Nalepa acuminata. RNAcentral describes it as "Nalepa sp. 1 XML-2022a partial large subunit ribosomal RNA". It matches the Rfam family "Bacterial large subunit ribosomal RNA", at positions 1816 to 2585 of the family's 2925-position model. The record is from RNAcentral. Lineage: Eukaryota; Metazoa; Arthropoda; Insecta; Coleoptera; Tenebrionidae.